AUUGCAGGCUGCAACCCGCCUGUAUGAAGUUGGAAUCGCUAGUAAUCGCGGAUCAGCAUGCCGCGGUGAAUACGUUCCCGGGCCUUGUACACACCGCCCGUCACACCAUGAGAGUCGGGAACACCCGAAGUCCGUAGCCUAACCGCGAAGGGGGGCGCGGCCGAAGGUGGGUUCGAUAAUUGGGGUGAAGUCGUAACAAGGUAAC
This 205-nucleotide ribosomal RNA is filed under the name uncultured bacterium. RNAcentral's name for it is "partial 16S ribosomal RNA". It matches the Rfam family "Bacterial small subunit ribosomal RNA", at positions 1297 to 1500 of the family's 1533-position model. The record is from RNAcentral.